UACGAAGGGGGCUAGCGUUGCUCGGAAUUACUGGGCGUAAAGGGCUCGUAGGCGGCCAACUAAGUCAGACGUGAAAUCCCUCGGCUUAACCGGGGAACUGCGUCUGAUACUGGAUGGCUAGAGGUUGGGAGAGGGAUGCGGAAUUCCAGGUGUAGCGGUGAAAUGCGUAGAUAUCUGGAGGAACACCGGUGGCGAAGGCGGCAUCCUGGACCAAUUCUGACGCUGAGGAGCGAAAGCUAGGGGAGCAAACGGG
RNAcentral lists this ribosomal RNA (253 nucleotides) under uncultured bacterium. Its description in RNAcentral is "partial 16S ribosomal RNA". It matches the Rfam family "Bacterial small subunit ribosomal RNA", at positions 524 to 776 of the family's 1533-position model. The record is from RNAcentral.